UUGAACGCUGGCGGCAUGCCUUACACAUGCAAGUCGAACGGUAGAGGGGCAACCCUUGAAAGUGGCGAACGGGUGAGUAAUAUAUCGGAACGUGCCCAGUCGUGGGGGAUAACGCAGCGAAAGCUGCGCUAAUACCGCAUACGAUCUAUGGAUGAAAGCGGGGGAUCGCAGGACCUCGCGCGAUUGGAGCGGCCGAUAUCAGAUUAGGUAGUUGGUGGGGUAAAAGCCCACCAAGCCGACGAUCUGUAGCUG
This 252-nucleotide ribosomal RNA is filed under the name uncultured bacterium. RNAcentral's name for it is "partial 16S ribosomal RNA". It matches the Rfam family "Bacterial small subunit ribosomal RNA", at positions 30 to 289 of the family's 1533-position model. The record is from RNAcentral.